This is a non-coding RNA of Theobroma cacao (cacao), 467 nucleotides long. Lineage: Eukaryota; Viridiplantae; Streptophyta; Magnoliopsida; Malvales; Malvaceae. The record is from RefSeq and is a predicted model, not a curated record.
AAGAAAAAGCUUGGUUUUGGUGAUUCAAGCAAGAAACGGAAGUGCAAAGAUAAGGUUAGAGAACUGUGGUGGCGUGUCGAAGUAAAUAACGAGUGACCGGCCAGUGAAAAUAGUUAGAGACACCUCCAAUCAAAUAGCGACUUAAUAUCUCGUUGUUGCUAGGUUUUCUGAGUUAAAGGUGAUUGGGUCCUAAGACGAGGUGCUCCUCCCUAUACAUUGCUCAAUAAGUUUAACGUGCCACUAAGUGUUAUCAAUCGUACCUAGAGUCACUCCGCUGACUGUCGAGGUCUAAUUAUGUGUAUAUGGAUAUUUGAUGUGAAAAUUAAGGUUCAUUUGUUAUUCUACAUAGGUAUAUAAUGGUUGAUGAUGCCAUUAUGAAUGCAUGACUAGGUUUUGUGAAUUGUUUUCAAAGGAAUUGUAAUUGAGUAUUACGAAUUUCAGAUUCUAAAGGAAUAUGGAUUAAUGUA